UUGAGGAAGUAAAAGUCGUAACAAGGUUUCCGUAGGUGAACCUGCGGAAGGAUCAUUAAAGAGUAAGGGUGCUCAGCGCCCGACCUCCAACCCUUUGUUGUUAAAACUACCUUGUUGCUUUGGCGGGACCGCUCGGUCUCGAGCCGCUGGGGAUUCGUCCCAGGCGAGCGCCCGCCAGAGUUAAACCAAACUCUUGUUAUUUAACCGGUCGUCUGAGUUAAAAUUUUGAAUAAAUCAAAACUUUCAACAACGGAUCUCUUGGUUCUCGCAUCGAUGAAGAACGCAGCGAAAUGCGAUAAGUAAUGUGAAUUGCAGAAUUCAGUGAAUCAUCGAAUCUUUGAACGCACAUUGCGCCCCUUGGUAUUCCGAGGGGCAUGCCUGUUCGAGCGUCAUUACACCACUCAAGCUAUGCUUGGUAUUGGGUGCCGUCCUUAGUUGGGCGCGCCUUAAAGACCUCGGCGAGGCCUCACCGGCUUUAGGCGUAGUAGAAUUUAUUCGAACGUCUGUCAAAGGAGAGGACUUCUGCCGACUGAAACCUUUUAUUUUUCUAGGUUGACCUCGGAUCAG
RNAcentral lists this ribosomal RNA (567 nucleotides) under Dothioraceae sp. J6. Its description in RNAcentral is "eukaryotic LSU rRNA". The stretch from base 239 to 392 matches the Rfam family "5.8S ribosomal RNA". Lineage: Eukaryota; Fungi; Ascomycota; Dothideomycetes; Dothideales; Dothioraceae. The record is from RNAcentral.